This 1528-nucleotide ribosomal RNA is filed under the name Salmonella enterica subsp. enterica serovar Heidelberg. Its description in RNAcentral is "partial 23S ribosomal RNA". It matches the Rfam family "Bacterial large subunit ribosomal RNA", at positions 1292 to 2803 of the family's 2925-position model. The record is from RNAcentral. Lineage: Bacteria; Pseudomonadati; Pseudomonadota; Gammaproteobacteria; Enterobacterales; Enterobacteriaceae.
GAAUGCUGACAUAAGUAACGAUAAAGCGGGUGAAAAGCCCGCUCGCCGGAAGACCAAGGGUUCCUGUCCAACGUUAAUCGGGGCAGGGUGAGUCGACCCCUAAGGCGAGGCCGAAAGGCGUAGUCGAUGGGAAACGGGUUAAUAUUCCCGUACUUGGUGUUACUGCGAAGGGGGGACGGAGAAGGCUAUGUUGGCCGGGCGACGGUUGUCCCGGUUUAAGCGUGUAGGUGUGUGUUCCAGGUAAAUCCGGUUCACUUUAACACUGAGGCGUGACGACGAGGCACUACGGUGCUGAAGCAACAAAUGCCCUGCUUCCAGGAAAAGCCUCUAAGCAUCAGGUAACAUCAAAUCGUACCCCAAACCGACACAGGUGGUCAGGUAGAGAAUACCAAGGCGCUUGAGAGAACUCGGGUGAAGGAACUAGGCAAAAUGGUGCCGUAACUUCGGGAGAAGGCACGCUGACACGUAGGUGAAGUGAUUUACUCAUGGAGCUGAAGUCAGUCGAAGAUACCAGCUGGCUGCAACUGUUUAUUAAAAACACAGCACUGUGCAAACACGAAAGUGGACGUAUACGGUGUGACGCCUGCCCGGUGCCGGAAGGUUAAUUGAUGGGGUCAGCGCAAGCGAAGCUCCUGAUCGAAGCCCCGGUAAACGGCGGCCGUAACUAUAACGGUCCUAAGGUAGCGAAAUUCCUUGUCGGGUAAGUUCCGACCUGCACGAAUGGCGUAAUGAUGGCCAGGCUGUCUCCACCCGAGACUCAGUGAAAUUGAACUCGCUGUGAAGAUGCAGUGUACCCGCGGCAAGACGGAAAGACCCCGUGAACCUUUACUAUAGCUUGACACUGAACAUUGAGCCUUGAUGUGUAGGAUAGGUGGGAGGCUUUGAAGUGUGGACGCCAGUCUGCAUGGAGCCGACCUUGAAAUACCACCCUUUAAUGUUUGAUGUUCUAACGUGGACCCGUAAUCCGGGUUGCGGACAGUGUCUGGUGGGUAGUUUGACUGGGGCGGUCUCCUCCUAAAGAGUAACGGAGGAGCACGAAGGUUGGCUAAUCCUGGUCGGACAUCAGGAGGUUAGUGCAAUGGCAUAAGCCAGCUUGACUGCGAGCGUGACGGCGCGAGCAGGUGCGAAAGCAGGUCAUAGUGAUCCGGUGGUUCUGAAUGGAAGGGCCAUCGCUCAACGGAUAAAAGGUACUCCGGGGAUAACAGGCUGAUACCGCCCAAGAGUUCAUAUCGACGGCGGUGUUUGGCACCUCGAUGUCGGCUCAUCACAUCCUGGGGCUGAAGUAGGUCCCAAGGGUAUGGCUGUUCGCCAUUUAAAGUGGUACGCGAGCUGGGUUUAGAACGUCGUGAGACAGUUCGGUCCCUAUCUGCCGUGGGCGCUGGAGAACUGAGGGGGGCUGCUCCUAGUACGAGAGGACCGGAGUGGACGCAUCACUGGUGUUCGGGUUGUCAUGCCAAUGGCACUGCCCGGUAGCUAAAUGCGGAAGAGAUAAGUGCUGAAAGCAUCUAAGCACGAAACUUGCCCCGAG